This 254-nucleotide ribosomal RNA is filed under the name uncultured bacterium. RNAcentral describes it as "partial 16S ribosomal RNA". It matches the Rfam family "Bacterial small subunit ribosomal RNA", at positions 524 to 777 of the family's 1533-position model. The record is from RNAcentral.
UACGGAGGGGGCUAGCGUUGUUCGGAAUUACUGGGCGUAAAGCGCACGCAGGCGGCUUUGCAAGUUAGAGGUGAAAGCCCGGGGCUCAACUCCGGAAUUGCCUUUAAAACUGCAUCGCUAGAAUUGUGGAGAGGUAAGUGGAAUUCCGAGUGUAGAGGUGAAAUUCGUAGAUAUUCGGAAGAACACCAGUGGCGAAGGCGACUUACUGGACACAUAUUGACGCUGAGGUGCGAAAGCGUGGGGAGCAAACAGGG